GGUAGAGGGUCAGGUGCUCCUGCGUCUCACUGAGAAUGACUCACAGCUGGAGCAUGCAUCCUGGGCCUCCUGUGCCCUGGCCGCCCAUCCUGGGAUGUUGGGCAGGUAACAGUUGUAGCUGAAAGUCCAUAUUGCCUUUUGGCUUCUCAUAGAACUUGGAGCAGCCUUAGGAGGUGUUGGUCAGAUGAGAUGUUCUUGCCAUUACUGGUGCAUCGCCUGUGGAGACUCACUCUGCAGAUUUUGGCACGAUACUCUGUGUUUGUCAAUGAGCUUUCACUCAGGCCCAUUUCUAAUGAAAGUCCCAAGGAGAUCAAGAAACCUUUGGUAACUGGUAGCAAAGAACCUUCCAUCACCCAAGGAAACACUGAAGACCAAGGAAGUGGUCCUUCGGAAACAAAGCCUGUGGUUUCCAUUUCCCGCACUCAGCUCGUGUAUGUGGUUGCAGACCUGGACAAGCUUCAGGAGCAGCUUCCAGAACUCUUGGAAAUAAUCAAGCCAAAACUUGAAAUGAUUGGCUUUAAGAAUUUUUCUUCUAUCUCAGCAGCCCUGGAGGACUCCCAGAGCUCUUUGUCAGCCUGUGUGCCCUCCUUGAGUAGCAAGAUCAUCCAGGAUUUAAGUGACUCUUGCUUCGGUUUCCUAAAAAGCGCCCU
RNAcentral lists this small RNA (650 nucleotides) under Pan troglodytes (chimpanzee). RNAcentral describes it as "processed transcript". The record is from RNAcentral. Lineage: Eukaryota; Metazoa; Chordata; Mammalia; Primates; Hominidae.